UGGGGAAUAUUGGACAAUGGGCGCAAGCCUGAUCCAGCAAUGCCGCGUGUGUGAAGAAGGCCUUCGGGUUGUAAAGCACUUUAAGUUGGGAGGAAAAGCUGAGGGUUAAUAGCCUUUAGUGUUGACGUUACCAACAGAAUAAGCACCGGCUAACUCCGUGCCAGCAGCCGCGGUAAUACGGAGGGUGCAAGCGUUAAUCGGAAUUACUGGGCGUAAAGCGCGCGUAGGCGGUUAUUUAAGUCAGAUGUGAAAGCCCCGGGCUUAACCUGGGAAUGGCAUUUGAGACUGGAUGGCUAGAGUAUGGUAGAGGUGAGUGGAAUUUCAGGUGUAGCGGUGAAAUGCGUAGAGAUCUGAAGGAACAUCAGUGGCGAAGGCGACUCACUGGGCCAUUACUGACGCUGAGGUGCGAAAGCGUGGGUAGCAAACAGG
This 429-nucleotide ribosomal RNA is filed under the name uncultured prokaryote. RNAcentral's name for it is "bacterial SSU rRNA". It matches the Rfam family "Bacterial small subunit ribosomal RNA", at positions 355 to 776 of the family's 1533-position model. RNAcentral also lists the same sequence under 2 other names. The record is from RNAcentral.